AGAGUUUGAUCAUGGCUCAGAUUGAACGCUGGCGGCAGGCCUAACACAUGCAAGUCGAACGGUAACAGGAAGCAGCUUGCUGCUUUGCUGACGAGUGGCGGACGGGUGAGUAAUGUCUGGGAAACUGCCUGAUGGAGGGGGAUAACUACUGGAAACGGUGGCUAAUACCGCAUAACGUCGCAAGACCAAAGAGGGGGACCUUCGGGCCUCUUGCCAUCAGAUGUGCCCAGAUGGGAUUAGCUUGUUGGUGAGGUAACGGCUCACCAAGGCGACGAUCCCUAGCUGGUCUGAGAGGAUGACCAGCCACACUGGAACUGAGACACGGUCCAGACUCCUACGGGAGGCAGCAGUGGGGAAUAUUGCACAAUGGGCGCAAGCCUGAUGCAGCCAUGCCGCGUGUAUGAAGAAGGCCUUCGGGUUGUAAAGUACUUUCAGCGGGGAGGAAGGUGUUGUGGUUAAUAACCGCAGCAAUUGACGUUACCCGCAGAAGAAGCACCGGCUAACUCCGUGCCAGCAGCCGCGGUAAUACGGAGGGUGCAAGCGUUAAUCGGAAUUACUGGGCGUAAAGCGCACGCAGGCGGUCUGUCAAGUCGGAUGUGAAAUCCCCGGGCUCAACCUGGGAACUGCAUUCGAAACUGGCAGGCUUGAGUCUUGUAGAGGGGGGUAGAAUUCCAGGUGUAGCGGUGAAAUGCGUAGAGAUCUGGAGGAAUACCGGUGGCGAAGGCGGCCCCCUGGACAAAGACUGACGCUCAGGUGCGAAAGCGUGGGGAGCAAACAGGAUUAGAUACCCUGGUAGUCCACGCCGUAAACGAUGUCUACUUGGAGGUUGUGCCCUUGAGGCGUGGCUUCCGGAGCUAACGCGUUAAGUAGACCGCCUGGGGAGUACGGCCGCAAGGUUAAAACUCAAAUGAAUUGACGGGGGCCCGCACAAGCGGUGGAGCAUGUGGUUUAAUUCGAUGCAACGCGAAGAACCUUACCUGGUCUUGACAUCCACGGAAGUUUUCAGAGAUGAGAAUGUGCCUUCGGGAACCGUGAGACAGGUGCUGCAUGGCUGUCGUCAGCUCGUGUUGUGAAAUGUUGGGUUAAGUCCCGCAACGAGCGCAACCCUUAUCCUUUGUUGCCAGCGGUCCGGCCGGGAACUCAAAGGAGACUGCCAGUGAUAAACUGGAGGAAGGUGGGGAUGACGUCAAGUCAUCAUGGCCCUUACGACCAGGGCUACACACGUGCUACAAUGGCGCAUACAAAGAGAAGCGACCUCGCGAGAGCAAGCGGACCUCAUAAAGUGCGUCGUAGUCCGGAUUGGAGUCUGCAACUCGACUCCAUGAAGUCGGAAUCGCUAGUAAUCGUGGAUCAGAAUGCCACGGUGAAUACGUUCCCGGGCCUUGUACACACCGCCCGUCACACCAUGGGAGUGGGUUGCAAAAGAAGUAGGUAGCUUAACCUUCGGGAGGGCGCUUACCACUUUGUGAUUCAUGACUGGGGUGAAGUCGUAACAAGGUAACCGUAGGGGAACCUGCGGUUG
RNAcentral lists this ribosomal RNA (1522 nucleotides) under Salmonella enterica. RNAcentral's name for it is "bacterial SSU rRNA". It matches the Rfam family "Bacterial small subunit ribosomal RNA". RNAcentral also lists the same sequence under 9 other names. Lineage: Bacteria; Pseudomonadati; Pseudomonadota; Gammaproteobacteria; Enterobacterales; Enterobacteriaceae. The record is from RNAcentral.